ACUCAAAGGAAUUGACGGGGACCCGCACAAGCGGUGGAGCAUGUGGUUUAAUUCGAAGCAACGCGAAGAACCUUACCAAGUCUUGACAUCCCUCUGACCGGACAGUAAUGUGUCCUUCCCUUCGGGGCAGAGGAGACAGGUGGUGCAUGGUUGUCGUCAGCUCGUGUCGUGAGAUGUUGGGUUAAGUCCCGCAACGAGCGCAACCCUUAUCCUUAGUAGCCAGCAGGUAGAGCUGGGCACUCUAGGGAGACUGCCGGGGAUAACCUGGAGGAAGGUGGGGAUGACGUCAAAUCAUCAUGCCCCUUAUGAUUUGGGCUACACACGUGCUACAAUGGCGUAAACAAAGAGAAGCGACAGGGUGACCUUAAGCCAAUCUCAAAAAUAACGUCCCAGUUCGGAUUGUAGUCUGCAACUCGACUACAUGAAGCUGGAAUCGCUAGUAAUCGCGAAUCAGAAUGUCGCGGUGAAUACGUUCCCGGGUCUUGUACACACCGCCCGU
RNAcentral lists this ribosomal RNA (499 nucleotides) under uncultured bacterium. RNAcentral describes it as "bacterial SSU rRNA". It matches the Rfam family "Bacterial small subunit ribosomal RNA", at positions 899 to 1397 of the family's 1533-position model. The record is from RNAcentral.